AUGUUGAGCGUGAAGGAUAACGUUGCGUCAGCAACGGCCCGAAGGGCGAGGCGAAGCCGAGUCAUCCUGCACGACCCACCA
This 81-nucleotide small RNA is filed under the name Salmonella enterica subsp. enterica serovar Kentucky. RNAcentral's name for it is "partial RtT sRNA". It matches the Rfam family "RtT RNA", at positions 46 to 130 of the family's 130-position model. Rfam says of the family: This family represents a bacterial cis-regulatory element known as RtT RNA. The exact function of RtT is unknown although it is thought that it may be involved in changing the cellular response in relation to amino acid starvation. RNAcentral also lists the same sequence under 1 other name. Lineage: Bacteria; Pseudomonadati; Pseudomonadota; Gammaproteobacteria; Enterobacterales; Enterobacteriaceae. The record is from RNAcentral.